UUUUAGGAAAAAAGGGACAAAUCUUGAGGGCUAGGAAAAUGGCUUGUAAUGGAAAGGAGCCAUUUUUGUUCCCGAACCUAUAAAAGGUAGUACUGAUGGGAAAAAAGAUUAGUUAUUUAGUGGUGUUGAGCUAAUAAGCCUUUUUUAAGCAUAUAAUCGAAAUAUAUUGACAUUUUAAAUUGUGAAAAAAUCUUUUGUUUUGUGAAAAGAAAAAUAAAAAUAAACGUGUAAUUGGUAACUAGGUGACUGUGAGGGAGGAGAGAACAAGCCUUAAGGCUGGAAAUACAUAAAGAGCAUAUUUGGCUGGCUUAAGUCAUCGGCUGGCUUCUUCGUAGAUGAACAAAGGAGGUUUAGGUUGACUUAGUUCGAUUUUGGCCCUAGGCUACUUUGUUCAUUUCCGAAGAAGCCAGCCGAUGACUUAAGCCAGCCAGAAAAGCGCUUUAUGUAUUUCCACCCUUAGUGUCAAAGGUUAAUUAAACCGUUUCUUAAAUAUACUCCGACAAACAAAUAUGGUCGGAGUCGGGUACAGACAGCGAUAUCUUGCGGGCAAUAUUUCCAUUAACACCACUGACACAUUAAAUUAAAUCUCCACUCGUCAGAUCAAAGCUCAGCACCCAGAAUAAUACCCAAUAUACUUCCAACUUUGAUUUUAUGCUGUGAAGUCUCCAACCUGUUUAUUAACGUCACAGUGUUCCGGGAUUACGUAUAAACCUCUAAUUAUUUAAGUAAUUUCAACCCAACGAAUGCUUAUUCUGACUAAUGUUAAAAAGUUGCGGAUGUGACGAAGUAUUGUUAGACUUCAUCAGGAUUUGAGGUGACCCUGGAGUAUCAGACCUAUUGACAAUUACAAACACAUACAACACAUAAACACAUCACGAAUUUUAUUAAAUUUUUUCAACCGA
Molecule: long non-coding RNA, 902 nt
Organism: Musca domestica (house fly)
Lineage: Eukaryota; Metazoa; Arthropoda; Insecta; Diptera; Muscidae
Exons: 3
Source: RefSeq, a predicted model, not a curated record